CACAACCCUUCGGCUUGGUGUCUGGCUGAGCUGAGAGCAUUUGUAUACCUGCAGGAGGAAGGGGAGGGGAGGGGGAAUGAGGAGAACAGGACCAAACACAGAACAACGCCACUUACUACCAGGCUACAGGCAGAGCAGGCGGUGAAGAAGGCAAACAGUAAGUUGGCUUUCAUAGCAAGGAAGCUCCAGUACAGGAGCAGCAACGGCUUGCCGCAAUUGUACAGGGUUUGGAUACCAAUGGCACCCAUCAUGCAUCCACAAAGGGCUGGGUGCUGCAUUCCCUCAGCUCGAUUGUACCUCUGAGGAGGAAGCCAGUGAAACCUUAAAAGAAAAGCAUCUUACCUGAACCUUUCACCAGCUCAGAGAAUUUCACCUUGUUGCAGGUUUCAGCCACUAGAUGACUUUCAUGCCAAAUAAAGAGUGACAAGACCGCUUUACGUCAACUUGGAUCAAGAAAAUGGUGGAACUAACCAAUUGCUACACACAGGCUUACCCCCUGUGAGAGAAUGCACCUUUCCAGAUGAGCUUUUCUUGAGAGUAGGCCUGGCCCUUUGUUGGUCGACUAGGCCUCUGUAAAGACUGAACACCUGUGUGAGUGUUGGGAGGUUUAAGCUUGACCAGCUGUUUCUUGAACGUAGGAAACCUUACUAGUGUUAAGAAGGAAAGCACUGCUAUCCCUGGCGAUGGUGUUUUGGAUCAGCGGGAAUAGAAAUGCUUCUCUCCGGACACUCAAGCAUAUCUGUCAACAUUCCAGUAUUUACCCGACUCAGCUCUUCCAACCAGGAAUAUGAAAACUUCAUUGAGCAAUAAGAUUUACUGGAGCCUUUCACAGCACCUUUGCAAAUAAACGUUAACUCGGUGAGAUCAUCCUCUCCAGGAACGACUGCUUAUGAUCACGAACCUUCUGAAAGUCUUUUGAUGGAUGAUGAAGUCCAGGAUUUAUAGAGAAGUUUCAGCCCUGCUUUGCAAAGGGUUUUAUUGUACUACAAAUGGACGGAUGACCACUAAGUUCCUCCAUGAACCUCUGUCUCACAGAUAGAAUGCCAUAUAACUUCAAAAGACAUGCUCACAAUGUUAUCACUGUAUCAUAGCCUGUGAACUGAGUGUACAAAGGUCUCAGAUUUCUUCCUAAUGGGGCCAAUUUUAGGAUGACAAAUUAGUAAAAGCAUGCUACUCUUUGUAACUGUGGAGCUUACUACAAGCCCACGCAUUGGAGGGGCCUGUGACUAUAAUAUUUAGAU
This is a long non-coding RNA of Hemiscyllium ocellatum (epaulette shark), 1241 nucleotides long. RefSeq lists it as uncharacterized. The record is from RefSeq and is a predicted model, not a curated record. Lineage: Eukaryota; Metazoa; Chordata; Chondrichthyes; Orectolobiformes; Hemiscylliidae. The transcript is spliced from 7 exons.